RNAcentral lists this transfer-messenger RNA (305 nucleotides) under Roseobacter denitrificans OCh 114. Its description in RNAcentral is "sRNA". It matches the Rfam family "Alphaproteobacteria transfer-messenger RNA", at positions 48 to 355 of the family's 355-position model. Rfam says of the family: Bacterial tmRNA, also known as 10Sa RNA or SsrA, is named for its dual tRNA and mRNA-like properties. Its role is to liberate the mRNA from a stalled ribosome. To accomplish this part of the tmRNA is used as a reading frame that ends in a translation stop signal. Lineage: Bacteria; Pseudomonadati; Pseudomonadota; Alphaproteobacteria; Rhodobacterales; Roseobacteraceae. The record is from RNAcentral.
CGGGACUAUGAACAUAAACGCGCUCGUAAUAAGCGGAUCGGACCCGGGGGCGGUACCCGGCGACUCCACCAAACAUCCUUCAUUUGGGGAUCAUGGGGUCGAAACAGGAUCGACGAACGUCUAAAGGGGUUUGCUUUGUUUCGGCUGUCUGCCACCGUUAUCGGCGAAACUUGUACAAUUGCAAAUGACAAUCGUGCUCCAGUUGCGAUGGCCGCGUAAGCGGUUUCAGCGACUGAAACUUAACUCCUUGGGUUUAGCGACCUAAGGCGGGGUUCGCAGGCACCUGGCAACAGAAGCCUGCACUU